UUUUAAGUUUUUGCCCUGGCUCAGGAUGAACGCUGGCGGCGUGCUUAACACAUGCAAGUCGAACGAUGAAGCCCAGCUUGCUGGGUGGAUUAGUGGCGAACGGGUGAGUAACACGUGAGUAACCUGCCCCCGACUCUGGGAUAAGCCCGGGAAACUGGGUCUAAUACCGGAUAUUACCUUUGACCGCAUGGUUGUUGGUGGAAAGAUUUAUCGGUGGGGGAUGGACUCGCGGCCUAUCAGCUUGUUGGUGAGGUAAUGGCUCACCAAGGCGACGACGGGUAGCCGGCCUGAGAGGGUGACCGGCCACACUGGGACUGAGACACGGCCCAGACUCCUACGGGAGGCAGCAGUGGGGAAUAUUGCACAAUGGGCGAAAGCCUGAUGCAGCGACGCCGCGUGAGGGAUGACGGCCUUCGGGUUGUAAACCUCUUUCAGUAGGGAAGAAGCGAAAGUGACGGUACCUGCAGAAGAAGCGCCGGCUACCUACGCAG
This 491-nucleotide ribosomal RNA is filed under the name uncultured Arthrobacter sp. RNAcentral describes it as "bacterial SSU rRNA". It matches the Rfam family "Bacterial small subunit ribosomal RNA", at positions 1 to 511 of the family's 1533-position model. The record is from RNAcentral. Lineage: Bacteria; Bacillati; Actinomycetota; Actinomycetes; Micrococcales; Micrococcaceae.